UUUAUAACCACAACCGUGUGUAUGCUAGUUUGUAGUAAACUUACUUUUUUCUGUUACAUUAAAGAAUUCGUUAAUGAUAUAUCAAUUAGUCUUGUAAUUAUGCAAUUUAUUACAAUAUUCUAUCUCAGGACCACCCACUCUAUCAGUAUAUGGAGUAUCGUGCUUGGCCCCAAGCUGAUAACUUUUUAUGAUGUAUUUAAAAAAUUAUUUUAUAUGAAUUAUAUUUUUUCAUAUUUGUGCAUUGUGAUGCCAUUAUCCUACUCUCCCAUAUGUCACAACCAUUACAAAAACCAAAACUUUACUUCUCCUAAAAGUGUGAUGUCGUUUACCCUUACGUAACCUUCAUCACUAACUUACCCAAAACCACCUAUUAAUUACAUUUUUUUUACAACAGGAGGAAACAGGGUCCAUGGCUGACAACACUGAUUUUAUGGACAGACAGAUGACAAAUAUAACAGAUAUACUACAGCAAAGCAUUUUUGUGGUUCCAACACCUGUCUCAUCAGACUGUGUCAGUGACAUUUUAGCAGCUGACUGCUUAGACUUGUAUAAUCUAGAUAGUGGAGCACUUGUGUCUCCAUCGACCAACUGUAUAAACGAAAUUAUUCCAUUAAAAAAUUCUCAAAUAUUUUGGUCAGUAGUAACAGUGUCACCUCUAACGUAAUACUUAAUCAUGAAACUGGACUAUUUGAAGCUGUAAACUAUGAUGUAGAUAAUACAGAGAAUGAUGAUAAUGAAAUAAAUAACGAACUGCUUAGUAUCGAUAAUAGACGAAAACUCAAUCAAAGAUUACGGUUAUUAGGUAAAGAGUACAAAGGAAUCAAGAAGAUAGAUGAUGCGAUAACUCUUGUAAAAAAACCGCACAGAAAACUUACAAGGAGAGGGCGCGAGGGCCGGAGGGCGGAUUGGAGCGGGGCUUAUUUCUGUAAUGGCUCUUGAUUGGUGGUGAAGCACAGUGAAGGAUUGGAGGCCG
Molecule: long non-coding RNA, 973 nt
Filed under: Androctonus crassicauda
Lineage: Eukaryota; Metazoa; Arthropoda; Arachnida; Scorpiones; Buthidae
Source: RNAcentral